AUACAAAGAGAAUACUUUGCCUUGUAGCGAUAGUGAUACUGACCCUGUGUACGCCGUGGUAGUUCCAUUUGAACACCUAUAAAACACAGAAAAAUAUAAUGUACGUAAAUGUGCUACCGCUAGUACUAUGUGCGGCCUACAUAAGUAGAAUUACAAAAGAAAACACAAAAAUGUUUCUUCAUCGUACUGCUGUAGAUAAGGCUAUCAACAUUCAAAUAGGAAGAAAAGAAAUCCAUGUCAAAGAAAAGAAAUACCCCAACCCUCGCCCAA
Molecule: long non-coding RNA, 270 nt
Filed under: Brachypodium distachyon (stiff brome)
Lineage: Eukaryota; Viridiplantae; Streptophyta; Magnoliopsida; Poales; Poaceae
Description: long non-coding RNA (BDIS_LNC003169)
Source: RNAcentral